CAUAAUGUGCCUGCACUACCAUUUUAAUUAGAUAGUCAGCCCUGUAAUCUAUAUAUGAAGCGUGAAAACUCGUAUAAGCUAGGUUCUCAUUGUUUGCGGAAUGAAGUUACAAGAGUUUAUAUUUUUAAUCUCCAUAUAGACAUUUAGUUACUAAAUUAUUAGAAAAAUGAUAUAAAGUUAGCAAUUUUAUGUUAAAAAUUAAAUUAUUGAAAUAGUAAAAUUAUUCCUUUUUUUUUUUCCUUAUGCUUAUGGAUAUUUUAAACUAACUCAUGUGUUAAUUGAAAUUAAAUUUUCAUCUCAUUAAGUCGAAGAGUACAUUUCCACAUUUGAUCUGUGUAUUUAAAAAUUACCUUUUAGAUACUAGUACUAAAAUUUAAACAAAUCAGCUUGUCAACUGAGCUAACCUGAUUUUGAAACAUAUGAAAAUCCAUCGAAAAGUUUUGUUCUAUUUUCUUGACCAUUUUUCCAAAUGCACCAGUGCUUAAUUACGACACAAAAAGAAGGUUAAUAAACUUGUAAAUUACCUUGAUGAGCUGUCCCUUGAUAG
This 547-nucleotide unclassified non-coding RNA is filed under the name Hevea brasiliensis (rubber tree). The record is from RNAcentral. Lineage: Eukaryota; Viridiplantae; Streptophyta; Magnoliopsida; Malpighiales; Euphorbiaceae.